GACACGAAAAAAACACCAUCUAAUGCUUUCAAUUUGAAAGAAGUAAAGGGCCUUCAUGCAUAGAACUGAGUGGCGGGAUGCUUACUUACCAGGACAGUGCCUGAUGUGAUGCCCAAAAGAAAAGAGAAACUGAAGAGAUAAAAGUCUCAAAGGUGUCUGGACCUCCAGGAAGUGAAUACUCUCUGUUCCCAUCUCAACUAGAAAAUUGGACCUUUUAGAAUAGAGCAUCAGAGACAUACGUCUCCACCAAACACAUCAUCGGAUGCCUCCCCUGUAUUUCUAGUUCCCAACCUUUCAGAGUAGAUGGGCCCCAUCCCUUCAGUGUUUAGAGUUCUGAUAUUCCAGUUUGGCACUCUCAUGAUUGUUUUAUUGAUAUCAAUCUCUCAUCCUUUUUUUUUCCCCAUUCAGCUCAAUCGCUUACUAGAAAGCAAUAGGAAACUCGAAGACCAACUGCAGCGCUCUAUCUGGUUCCAGCAGCUACUGCUUACCUUAACAAUGGUCUUGCUUGCUUUUGUUGUUUCUUUCUUUUAUUCAUUAUACAUUUAAAGAAGUGCACCUGGUCAAAACCCUAAAAUUCCUUCAGACAUUUCUGGAGAAGGUAUACAGACCCCACCCAAACUUUCCACCUAACUACCAGAACUCCUACUAUACAUCUGGGCUUCCUACAAAGAUAAUGCAGUACAUAGAAGGGUGCCUAUCUUGAAAACAAGUUCUUUGGCUAGUUUGUUCAAGGUAUUGAUUAGGGACUAUAGCUAGUUAGGAAACUAAGUAAAGGUAUAUGCAUCGUAUAAAUUGAUAGCUUGAACGUAAUUUAUUUUUCUUUUUCAUUUGAAUGCUUUCAAAGCCAAGUUCUAUCAUGUAAAUACACGAGCUGAGCUGAAAAGUCUAAGUAAUAUGCUUCUUCGUUGUAGCCAAAAGAAAAUGUAGUCUGCUUUUUUUUAAAUUACAGAAUUACUAGCUGAGCUGGCUUAUUAGUUUUUCUAUACUAUGUAUGUAAAAUAUGUAUAUUGAAAAGGAAGCAUACUUAAACAGAGUAAUUUAUGUAAUCAUGACUUUGUAACUUUGAGAACUCCUUCCAGAUGAUAGUCAAAAUUCUUUUGGAAUGUAAAGCUAUUUAAUGCCAAACCUCCUUAGCCUUUGUUUCUCGGUGUCACUGAGCGGCCUGCCUCUUAGUAAUCCGGGCUCUUUAAUGAAUACUCUGUUUUGAUACAAUAUGAAAAGGUACUUGUGGUUGGAUCUUCUUUGAUUUCUCUUAUCAGUGCCCAGAAGGAACAUCUCCGAAAGAGCCCCCCCCUAGUCAGUUCUAUGCAGUUUCAUGCUGGUCCGGCUGUUUGGACACUGAGCCCUUUGCCUGGUUUAUUAUAAGGGCCUACUUGUCCAUUCUUCCAUCUUUGUCUUCAUUCCAGGGCAAAGGAGUCUCCUCUGUGGACCACAGAUUAUACCGCUUUCACCCUCAUUUUAAAAUGAAAGGCAUUAUGUAAUAUUUUUUGACUGUCUGGCUGUUUUAGAUGUCCAUUACUAUAAGUAGCCUUGGGUUCCAAAUGGUCCUUGUUAAAAUGGUUGGUGAGAAGGAAACGUUGGAAAGUAUUCGUGUGUGCAGAUAUAAAGCAAAGCAGAGAGGCUGAGAGAAUGGGAACUAUGACUCCCGAUGGCUUCUCUGGCCCACUCAAUACUCUGCCUUUGGUGUACUUAGACCCACUCAGAUGGCUCUUCAAUUCCUACACAAACGCACCUUGCAGAAGCAGAGGCUAAUGAAAGAGCUUUGUUAUCAUUAACAUGAUCAGUUUCUGUCACUUCGGUUCAAAUCUCUAUCUGCCUUUUUCAGAAGAAAAGUACUCUGCCUAGCAAAUGAAUAUUUAGCCAUGUUUGGAGAUUUAAUUUCCUCAGGAGUAGAGUCAGGAGCUCUCAGCUUGAGGAAGUUGAUUCCCAAACCAAGUUUGGAGGAGUGAUGUAAGCGAGCUCCUUAAAAUGUUGGCUGAGGAAAUAAAACCUUAAACGGACACUAGAGUGAUACUUUGUCUUAAUUUGGGUUUUUCUGUUUCAGUUUGCCACCUCCAGAUGUGAAACAGACUGCAGUCCACCCUAAGUGCUGUGCACAGUGUCUGUGUCCCUGUGUGUUCACAGUGACUUCCCAAGUGGUAGAUUUGGGGCCUUAAUAUAAUCUCAUCCCAAAGUAUCUGUCCAUGUUUUUGAUUCCUCAUCAGAUGAACAAGCAGUUAAUUAGCCAAGAUGAGGAGUACAAUUGUCCUAACAGUGUCCCUUUAACGUUUCAUAAGAAAAUCAUGUUGACACACUAAAUACCCUUCUUUGCUUGUUGUCUGGUCAGUUGAACUGAGUAACAUCUUGUUAGCAUUUCUGUGUGGUGAAUGUGACUAAAAAGGACUUUGGGAAAUUAACAUAAUGUCAACAGUAACUGAACUCUUCUGCUAAUCUUGAUUAAUCUAUAUUGUUACAUUUGAUUUUUGUCCUGUCUUUAUUUGGUUUAGUCUAAUCACAUGUGCAUGAUUAUUUUUGGUAUUCUGAUCAAUAAUUUUAUCUUUAAUCAUGUCAUUGCCUUUUCAUGAUCAAAUUACCAGGGAUUUUCAUUUCGAUUUUUGGUUUCACUCGGGAAUGGAAAUUAAUACAUUUUCCAUGAAAACAUUAAUAAAAGAUCAUUAGCUUGAUCUGCAACUAGCCGAAAAUGCAAAUGCUGGUAAACCUAGUCUCAAAUUUCAUAAAAUCAUAACUUUUAUAUCUUGCCACUAAUUUUGACUGGAUUUAAUAGCACUUUAUUGUACAAUUAUAAAAAAUAUAUUCCUAGAAUUGUUGCCAGUGUAAUUUCUCUAAUGUUCUGGUGCUUUUCAUAUAUUUUCAGUAUUUUUAUUACUAUAUUGGUAUUUUCUUUGUAUAAAUUGAUCAAAAGAACAUGUUUUCUAUUUUAAUAUGUUUUAGAAAAUAAUUACAUUUAUGAAAUAAAUAUCAUCAGGAAAAAAA
RNAcentral lists this long non-coding RNA (2973 nucleotides) under Rattus norvegicus (Norway rat). RNAcentral's name for it is "long non-coding RNA NONRATT030499". Lineage: Eukaryota; Metazoa; Chordata; Mammalia; Rodentia; Muridae. The record is from RNAcentral.